GGCGCAAUAGCUUAAAUGGUUAAAGCACACAACUCAUAAUUGUGAGUAUAUGGGUUCAAAUCCCCUUUGUGCCA
RNAcentral lists this transfer RNA (74 nucleotides) under Caudoviricetes sp. RNAcentral's name for it is "tRNA-Met". It matches the Rfam family "tRNA". Rfam says of the family: Transfer RNA (tRNA) molecules are approximately 80 nucleotides in length. Their secondary structure includes four short double-helical elements and three loops (D, anti-codon, and T loops). Lineage: Duplodnaviria; Heunggongvirae; Uroviricota; Caudoviricetes. The record is from RNAcentral.